CUCACUCCAGACUCCCUAAAAAUCACUAUGAGAGCCAUGCCAUGUGGUAAGGGAGCCUUGGAUCUGUUCAAGGCUUCCCUCAUGGGAUCGAUCAUCAGGAAAGGUAGAUUUAGGAGAGUCUCAGAAAUAAUAGGUGCAUCAAGCAGAUAUCCCUACCAGUCAUCAAAUCAUAUCUUCUCCCUCUGGGGAAGAAAAUCCUAGACACCAUGUGGUGGAGCAAUCUCAUCUCCACACUC
This 236-nucleotide long non-coding RNA is filed under the name Elaeis guineensis (African oil palm). RNAcentral's name for it is "long non-coding RNA (EGUI_LNC058387)". Lineage: Eukaryota; Viridiplantae; Streptophyta; Magnoliopsida; Arecales; Arecaceae. The record is from RNAcentral.